Molecule: unclassified non-coding RNA, 5546 nt
Filed under: Hevea brasiliensis (rubber tree)
Lineage: Eukaryota; Viridiplantae; Streptophyta; Magnoliopsida; Malpighiales; Euphorbiaceae
Source: RNAcentral
CAUUUUUUUUAAUCUUUUUUUUUUUAUUGGGCGUUUGAUCUUUUGCUGAUUGGUUUGGUUUUUAUGUAAUUUUAGUCUCAAGGUUUCCCUUUUUGCGUGAAUUUGCUUUGGAAUAUUCUAGAUCUACUAUCGAUUUGCUUUAGAUUUUCAUGCGGGCUUGUUUGUUUUAGGGUUUUGUUUUUUCCCAUUUGAUUAUUCCCCUCCGUGGUUUUUGAUCUUCUCGCUUGAUCGUCAAGACAAUUUUUACGCUUUUGGUUAUAGUGUUGAAAGGUUGUCUAUAUAAUUGAUCCUAUAUACCUACUAUAGUUUCUGGAUGUGUAGAUGUCCCUAACGGUUACUUCGUGCACAGAAUGAGUGAUGCGCUUCACCUUCAUUUAUUAAGAUGUUUCCUGUAUAUGGCAUUGUAAUUUUGUAUGUAAUAUGGUGAGUGUGAUUGAGAGGUUCAGAAAAGAAGUAGUCUUGGUGAGGAAAUUAUAGAUCACAUUGCGCUGAUGGUCUUCAUUUGGAGUAUUUCAUGUUUAACUUUGCCAAACGCUUGCUUUCUGUGCACACUGUCUUUUAGUAACUUCGAUUUUAUGCUUUGUGUAGUGUCUUUUCAAAUUAGCAUAAGCAGAUGAUAUGGCUAUUUUCUUGAUUUGUAUUGCGUUGUUUCUGUGUGCUAAUUGGAUUACUUUUAUUGUUGUAUUCAGUGCGUUAUUCCUUGCUAGUCAUAUUGGUAAUUAGGUGCCCCAGGAUUGCUGUGAAGCAGCUCGUGAGGCUUUGUAUUAUUCAGUUGUUUCAGUAGAUUUCCUGCAGGAACAGAAGUCUGUUAAUUUUCUAUUUGUUUCUGUGUUUUGAAGUUGGAGUCAAAUUAUGAAGUUUUAUGUGAUUUUAUUAUGAAUAUUGUUGCUAGGUUGAGGAACUGCAACUUGUACGCCUUAACAAAUCAUGCUAGAAGAUUGACGGGAACAAAAUUUGGUGCUAAGUUUCUCGCUGAUGAAAGUGUAUGCAUGCUUAGUUGCUCUAUGUACCUGAGAACUAUGUGCCAAUCUUAUCUGGGAAGUGAAAUGGUGAAAAGAGGCAAUGGUGAAGAUGCAUUGCAUAUAAGAAUUGAUUACUAAAUAGCUAUUACUGUUCAAUUAUUUAAUUAUUCAAUUAUGAACAGAUACUUGCUUGAAGAUGUUGGAAGUUUACUUUAUAGUUAAUAUGAUUUGAUUAGCAUGCUUGGCUUUCUAUUAGAGUCGUGGUGUCGUGGUGCCCCUAGCAGCCUGGCCAAUUAAUAUUGGCCACACAAUCAUGGCAUCUGGCAAUCCUUUUUUGGAUGACGUGAGAAGUAAACCGGAGGUUAUUGAUCCUCCUCAAAAUGAAGACAUGAUGGAUGUUGGUGAAAGUGUGAAUGAUUCUGCUCAGACGGCUUUGAAACCUAAUGUGACUGUGUCCAGCAGUGUACGUGAGCUAUUAGAGUGCCCUGUGUGCUUAAAUGCUAUGUAUCCUCCUAUUCAUCAGGUUUGCUGUAUGCUUCCUUGGUCAUUUGUAAUCACUUAACAUUCUCAUAAUUAAAAUUUUGUCAUUCUUGAAAGUUGAAAUCGUUUUGUGGUUUUGAAGUUAUGAGAUUAUAAUGUUUGGAUACAUCUUUUAUAUGCGCUAGACUUGCAUGCUCACACAUACACACAUCAUAGAAGGAUUUUAAAAUUUUACUUGAAAACUUGUUCUAAUCUAUCUUGAUUGUUCAUCAUUUUCUGUUGCAGUGUUCAAACGGCCAUACAUUAUGUUCCGGCUGCAAACCCAGGGUUCAUAAUAGGUGCCCCACCUGCAGGCAUGAACUUGGUAACAUCAGAUGUCUUGCAUUAGAGAAGGUCGCUGCAUCCCUUGAACUUCCAUGUAAAUAUCAGAGUUUUGGGUGCGUGGGCAUAUAUCCAUACUACAGCAAGCUAAAACAUGAAUCUCAAUGUGUUUAUAGACCAUAUAACUGUCCCUAUGCUGGAUCAGAAUGCACAGUGAUUGGUGAUAUUCCUUUUCUGGUGGCCCAUUUAAAGGAUGAUCACAAAGUUGACAUGCAUAAUGGUAGCACUUUCAAUCAUCGAUAUGUCAAAUCAAAUCCACAUGAAGUUGAGAAUGCAACAUGGAUGCUAACGGUAUUGUUUUGCUUUGUGCUUGUUUCUUUUGGUAGUUUCUGGAUUCCUUCUUAUCCUAAACAGACAAAGGUUAAUCAUUUUUUUUUAAUUUACAUCACAAGAUGAGAAUUUUUUUUGGAUGCAUCUAGAUCCAUUCCAGUUAGUAUCGCCAUAAAUCCAUGCCUCAUAAACAAUGCACCUUUUGACUAAUGAGCCCUAUUGAAUCAAUAUGUACACUAAGUGUUUAUGCGUGAAGUCAAGAGGAAUCUAGCAUCAUGCUUCUGCUGCAGUGAGACCAUACUCCACUCCUUGACAUGUCAUGCUGUUUCUUGCUAGAUUGAACUUUUGCAAAAGCUUUUUCAUGAGUACAUAGAUGAUUAGUUUAUCUUGUUUUUUCCCCUUCUUUAAUUGUAGGUUUUUAGUUGCUUUGGUCAGUACUUUUGUCUACAUUUCGAAGCUUUCCAGCUUGGGAUGGCCCCUGUCUACAUAGCAUUCUUGCGGUUUAUGGGUGAUGACAAUGAGGCAAAGAACUACAGCUACAGCCUUGAGGUGGGCGGGAAUGGAAGGAAGAUGAUAUGGCAAGGAGUGCCUAGGAGCAUAAGGGACAGCCAUCGGAAGGUUCGUGACAGUUUUGAUGGUCUCAUCAUUCAGCGCAAUAUGGCUCUUUUCUUCUCUGGUGGAGACCGGAAGGAAUUGAAACUUAGGGUGACUGGUAGGAUUUGGAAAGAGCAGUGAGGAGAUAUUUUUACGUUCUAUUCGAUAACCAGAGCAAGUAGAUUAGUUGUGUAGCAUCUCAAGUCUUCUCUGAUCAUGUAUUUUUUGAGCUGUAAGGAGGCAAACUCUUUUUGCUUCUCCAUGCAUCAAAUACAUGAGUGGGAUACAUGAAACUUAUGCCUGCAACUAUAAUAUUUAUCUAGAGAUUUAGGUGUGCAAUUCUGCACUGCAUUUUGUAGUCUUCAUCGACCACAUGAUUGCAUUGAAUUAGUUAAUGCAUGAGCUUUUGGUGGAGCCGUUUAUUGUGAAUUAGGCAAUUUAACCAUUUAUUAAAAAAGCCUUGUGCCCAUAUAUCAUCUUCAAAUUGUGUCGGGUCCUUAUUGAAAUUUGAAUGGAAGUUGGUGAAGUCUUUUGGCCUUACUCUGCAUUCAAUCGCCGUGGUAGGCCCCUGUUUCUUUCUAUGCCUUCAACAUUCUCCAUUCAUACUUUUUCUGGCGUGGCCUAUGACGUGACUUACGCUAGUGCAUCGCAUAGAAAAAGCUUGAAAAGUAUUAACGUUCAAGUUUAUCAAUAAUUGGAGAAUGACAGCGAUUAGCUAACUCUGGAAAUUUGGGUACAUUGCAGUUGCCUUUGACCAUCUGCCAAUACUAUUCCUCCUAUUACGUUUCUUUACAGCUUCCUCUUUAUGUCGAGGUGAGCAAAGGCUAUUCUUCACUGAAGUCGAAUUCUAUUUCUAAUUGAUAAGGAAAUGAUAAUCCGAACAAACUGAGAAUCCAAUUCCUCAAUGGGUAUAAGAGUGGAGGAAGGAAGUACCCAUAUCCAUCCAUUCAUCCAUCCAGUUUCAAGGUCGAGACAGGCACAUUACAGCUCUUUUGAGAAUUGCAGCAACAGCAUGAUCAAGUGUAUAAAAUAAAAAAUGAAGGAUUAAAAACCAACCUUUAUAAAUUUAUUUUCAGCUGUUUCUCCUUUGUAUUUGGUGUUCAAUGAGAAGUUAGACUUCAAGAUGUUCACAAACAACCUUGCACUCCGCCUCCUAUCUCUAUAUCAAAAACCAAAAAAGAGCAGUUACAUAGGAUGCUCAAAAGCUUUUAUCAAGUUUGUGUGCUAUACCAAGGUACACCCUUGAAAAUUAAACUAAAUUUGGCUCAUCUGUUAGACAAACAAAACCAUUUUAAGCAUUAAAAAACAGAGGGAGGCAGACCCAAAUGCAGCUUCAAGUGCAUUUAGCCAAGUAUGCAUCCCAUCCUUGGAGACGAUAUUCACGGGCUGCUUCUGCAGGAUCUGCUGCCUUUAUAAUCCCACGGCCAACAAUGAUGAUGUCACUUCCCCUAUCAUAGAUCACAGAAUAUGGAGUGUUAUAUUGCUGGCCAAGGGCAUCUCCCCCAGUCACCUUCUGAACUCCUGGGGUUGCCUGAAUAAAUGCUGGAUUUAUUGGUGCCCCUGGCCAUGAUGCUGGAUUAACUGAGAUGAAGCCAAUGACAAAAUCUGAAUGUUCUUCAGCAAUUUUGACUGCUGCAGUGGUGUACUCUCCUGUGGCAAAGUUACCCGCGGAACUCAUUUCUGCAAGCAGCAACAGGCCCCUACCAUGAGGCAGACCCUUCAAUUUCAAUCCAUCUACAAUUCCCGGUCCAGAAAUAAUGUGAGCAUUAACAAUAUCAGCCCAAUCCAAAAUCUGGAAGAUGCCACCUUCAUACUGCAUUGUUACAGUGUUACCAAUGUCUGCAAACUUGCGAUCUUCAAAAAUUAAGAAAUUAUACUUAUCUGCAAUCAAGCGAAGCUUUGAACCAAAAUCAGGGGUAAAAUCAGGUAAUAUGUCUACAUGGGUUUUCAUCAUGCAAAUCUCUGGUCCAACCUUCUCAGCAAGGUGGAGCAACUCUGCAGCAGUCCCAACAUCAGCAGCCAAACACAAAUUACUCUCCUUCUUGACCAUCAAUUCAAACAAUCUCUUCCCAGUUGGAUUCUUCGCCAACUUUGCUCUGUCUUCAAAUUUCAAAGCUUUAAUCCUAACUUUCUCCAUGGCUGGCGCCGCCACAUUCCUAUUCUCCUCCAGAAAUUUCAUCACCAUUCUUUCCAUUUCCUCAUCCAACCUCCCUUUCUCCCUCAAAACCCUAACCAUCUCACUCAACUUAAUAAUGGCGUGCAAUUUAAUCCCAUUCACCUCCAAAUUCUCCCUCCCGCCUUGUUCCCUAUCUAUCAACACGACAGCAUCAGCAACAUUCAAUCCCGCCGCACGCAACGGAGCGGCGGUCUCGAGAACGGAGGUGCCGCUGGUGACGAGAUCCUCGACAAUAAGGCAAGUUUGGCCGGAGUGGAAGACGCCUUCAAUGGCCUUGGCAGUACCAUAGUCUUUAACCUCCUUGCGGCGCAUGACCAUGGGGAUGUUAUUAGAUAGGGAGACGCAAGUGGCGAUAGGGAGAGCGGUGUAGGGGACGCCGCAGAUAAGUUCAAAGGAGGUGGAGGAAGAGACGGAGGAGAUAAGGAUUUGGGAGAUGUGGCGGAGGAGGGAAGGGUAGGAGAUGAUGAGGCGGAGGUCGAUGUAAAUUGGGGAAGAGAUGCCGGAUUUGAGUUUGAAGUUGCCGAAUUUAACGGCGGAGAUAUCGUGGAGCUGGAGGAUGAGAGACUCCAUUGUUGACAUUGUUUAGUUGGAGAGUGAGUGGCCAGGUGAAGUGGGAGUUUCACUGACAAAUUAAUGAAAGGAGGCCAUUUUGGGCGAGUAGGGAAACGUCUUUUAAAUUCCGG